This 765-nucleotide ribosomal RNA is filed under the name uncultured Streptococcus sp. Its description in RNAcentral is "bacterial SSU rRNA". It matches the Rfam family "Bacterial small subunit ribosomal RNA", at positions 28 to 776 of the family's 1533-position model. Lineage: Bacteria; Bacillati; Bacillota; Bacilli; Lactobacillales; Streptococcaceae. The record is from RNAcentral.
GAUGAACGCUGGCGGCGUGCCUAAUACAUGCAAGUAGAACGCUGAAGCUUGGUGCUUGCACCGAGCGGAUGAGUUGCGAACGGGUGAGUAACGCGUAGGUAACCUGCCUCUUAGCGGGGGAUAACUAUUGGAAACGAUAGCUAAUACCGCAUAAAAGUCGACAUCGCAUGAUGUUGACUUGAAAGGUGCAAUUGCAUCACUAAGAGAUGGACCUGCGUUGUAUUAGCUAGUUGGUGAGGUAACGGCUCACCAAGGCGACGAUACAUAGCCGACCUGAGAGGGUGAUCGGCCACACUGGGACUGAGACACGGCCCAGACUCCUACGGGAGGCAGCAGUAGGGAAUCUUCGGCAAUGGGGGCAACCCUGACCGAGCAACGCCGCGUGAGUGAAGAAGGUUUUCGGAUCGUAAAGCUCUGUUGUAAGAGAAGAACGAGUGUGAGAGUGGAAAGUUCACACUGUGACGGUAACUUACCAGAAAGGGACGGCUAACUACGUGCCAGCAGCCGCGGUAAUACGUAGGUCCCGAGCGUUAUCCGGAUUUAUUGGGCGUAAAGCGAGCGCAGGCGGUUAGAUAAGUCUGAAGUUAAAGGCUGUGGCUUAACCAUAGUACGCUUUGGAAACUGUUUAACUUGAGUGCAGAAGGGGAGAGUGGAAUUCCAUGUGUAGCGGUGAAAUGCGUAGAUAUAUGGAGGAACACCGGUGGCGAAAGCGGCUCUCUGGUCUGUAACUGACGCUGAAGCUCGAAAGCGUGGGGAGCAAACAGG